Molecule: ribosomal RNA, 149 nt
Filed under: Atractylodes lancea
Lineage: Eukaryota; Viridiplantae; Streptophyta; Magnoliopsida; Asterales; Asteraceae
Description: 5.8S ribosomal RNA
Rfam family: 5.8S ribosomal RNA
About the family: 5.8S ribosomal RNA (5.8S rRNA) is a component of the large subunit of the eukaryotic ribosome. It is transcribed by RNA polymerase I as part of the 45S precursor that also contains 18S and 28S rRNA.
Source: RNAcentral
AACGACUCUCUGCAACGGAUAUCUCAGCUCACGCAUCGAUGAAGAACUUAGCAAAAUGCGAUACUUGGUGUGAAUUACAAAAUCCCGUGAACCAUCGAGUUUUUGAAUGCAAGUUGCCCCCGAAGCUAUCCGAUUGAGGGCACGUCGCC